GUCAUCGUGGUGUAGUGGUUAUCACAUCUGUCUGUGGAACAGGAACCCCCGGUUCGAACCCGGGCGAUGACA
Non-coding RNA from Paramacrobiotus metropolitanus, 72 nucleotides. The record is from the annotation of a RefSeq genome assembly. NCBI's taxonomy places the organism in Eukaryota, Metazoa, Tardigrada, Eutardigrada, Parachela, Macrobiotidae.